AUUGAACGCUGGCGGCAUGCUUUACACAUGCAAGUCGAACGGCAGCGCGGGCUUCGGCCUGGCGGCGAGUGGCGAACGGGUGAGUAAUACAUCGGAACGUGCCCAGUAGUGGGGGAUAGCUCGUCGAAAGCCGGAUUAAUACCGCAUACGACCUGAGGGUGAAAGCGGGGGAUCUUCGGACCUCGCGCUAUGGGAGCGGCCGAUGGCAGAUUAGCUAGUUGGUGGGGUAAAGGCCUACCAAGGCGACGAUCUGUAGCUGGUCUGAGAGGACGACCAGCCACACUGGGACUGAGACACGGCCCAGACUCCUACGGGAGGCAGCAGUGGGGAAUGUUGGACAAUGGGCGAAAGCCUGAUCCAGCAAUGCCGCGUGUGUGAUGAAGGCCUUCGGGUUGUAAAGCACUUUUGGCGGGAACGAAAAGGACUGUGCCAAUACCACGGUUGGAUGACGGUACCCGCAGAAUAAGCACCGGCUAACUACGUG
This 484-nucleotide ribosomal RNA is filed under the name uncultured bacterium. Its description in RNAcentral is "partial 16S ribosomal RNA". It matches the Rfam family "Bacterial small subunit ribosomal RNA", at positions 29 to 507 of the family's 1533-position model. The record is from RNAcentral.